ACUCUCGCUCCAUGUGUCAAACAGAUUGAGGAUAGAAUCAGUAAUUACUUCUGAAAGUAAUUUAUCAUCUUGUCCAGGUUCCAGCUUCAACAUCAGGUAUCUAUUGACUGAUAUUAACUUCUCUAGCAUGUGCCUUCUAUCAAUGUUAUAUGCUACCAUUGUGCCUUGGAUUUUAGCAAUCAUCUUGAGCACCACCUGAUAGACUGUAGCAAAUGCAUCUCGGAAUGCUUUGGUUGUUGCUUCAGACAGUUCCCUGUCGUUCCAGCCACUCUUUUCAUUCCCUAACUCACGUGCUAUGGUUGGCGCGAAUGUUACAGUCUUCGGCUUGGUUGUGUUGACACGGAGCUGCUUUGAUUCCAUCAGCAUCUCAUUGGCUUCCUUCAUUUCUGACUCAAAUCUGCUGCUGACCUUGAAGUAUGGUUGCUCCUUGUGUGCAGUGGGGCUCGGAACCGGUGAAUUCUGUCUUGGUGAUGCUUCCAUGAACACCUCAGACGCCCUCUCUGAACCACCCGCUGCGAUGCACGCAAGAAAGCAUUUAUCAUGCAUGCUCCAUCGCAGUGAAGUCAUACUAUAGUUGAUGUUUGGACUGAAUUCAACUAAAGAAACACAGAUAGGUAUUCAUUUCAAUAAAUUCAAUUAACAACUUUUUUGGUGACAUGUGAGUUUGUGACUGACAUACAGGAAGAAGGUUGAUGGUGCGCUUUCUUGGGGGUUCCACGGUAC
RNAcentral lists this long non-coding RNA (723 nucleotides) under Setaria italica (foxtail millet). RNAcentral describes it as "long non-coding RNA (SITA_LNC003503)". Lineage: Eukaryota; Viridiplantae; Streptophyta; Magnoliopsida; Poales; Poaceae. The record is from RNAcentral.